UCACUCCAUCCAUGGGUCUCUUACCUGGCUCCCGCACGUGCGAGCUCGGGUUUCGAGGUGGUAACUGGUAAAUAGGAUCACCGGAUGGAGACAAGGCGGAGGAGGUCGGACCCACGAUGUCGGCAUCCGAGAUAAGAUCCCGGUAUCUCGGUCAAAUAGUCAAACCACUGCACCCCAAUCAGCUGAUGCCAGGUUGCCAC
RNAcentral lists this long non-coding RNA (200 nucleotides) under Elaeis guineensis (African oil palm). RNAcentral's name for it is "long non-coding RNA (EGUI_LNC010637)". Lineage: Eukaryota; Viridiplantae; Streptophyta; Magnoliopsida; Arecales; Arecaceae. The record is from RNAcentral.